GACGAACGCUGGCGGCGUGCCUAAUACAUGCCAGUAGAACGCUGAAGGAGGAGCUUGCUUCUCUGGAUGAGUUGCGAACGGGUGAGUAACGCGUAGGUAACCUGCCUGGUAGCGGGGGAUAACUAUUGGAAACGAUAGCUAAUACCGCAUAAGAGUAGAUGUUGCGUGACAUUUGCUUAAAAGGUGCAAUUGCAUCACUACCAGAUGGACCUGCGUUGUAUUAGCUAGUUGGUGGGGUAACGGCUCACCAAGGCGACGAUACAUAGCCGACCUGAGAGGGUGAUCGGCCACACUGGGACUGAGACACGGCCCAGACUCCUACGGGAGGCAGCAGUAGGGAAUCUUCGGCAAUGGACGGAAGUCUGACCGAGCAACGCCGCGUGAGUGAAGAAGGUUUUCGGAUCGUAAAGCUCUGUUGUAAGAGAAGAACGAGUGUGAGAGUGGAAAGUUCACACUGUGACGGUAUCUUACCAGAAAGGGACGGCUAACUACGUG
RNAcentral lists this ribosomal RNA (495 nucleotides) under uncultured bacterium. Its description in RNAcentral is "partial 16S ribosomal RNA". It matches the Rfam family "Bacterial small subunit ribosomal RNA", at positions 28 to 507 of the family's 1533-position model. The record is from RNAcentral.